This 434-nucleotide ribosomal RNA is filed under the name uncultured bacterium. Its description in RNAcentral is "partial 16S ribosomal RNA". It matches the Rfam family "Bacterial small subunit ribosomal RNA", at positions 27 to 507 of the family's 1533-position model. The record is from RNAcentral.
GAACGAACGCUGGCGGCAUGCCUAACACAUGCAAGUCGAACGAGACCUUCGGGUCUAGUGGCGCACGGGUGCGUAACGCGUGGGAACCUACCCUUAGGUUCGGAAUAACUCCCCGAAAGGGGUGCUAAUACCGGAUAAUGUCUUCGGGCCAAAGAUUUAUCGCCUUUGGAUGGGCCCGCGUUGGAUUAGCUAGUUGGUAGGGUAAAAGCCUACCAAGGCGACGAUCCAUAGCUGGUCUGAGAGGAUGAUCAGCCACACUGGGACUGAGACACGGCCCAGACUCCUACGGGAGGCAGCAGUGGGGAAUAUUGGACAAUGGGCGAAAGCCUGAUCCAGCAAUGCCGCGUGAGUGAUGAAGGCCUUAGGGUUGUAAAGCUCUUUUACCCGGGAUGAUAAUGACAGUACCGGGAGAAUAAGCUCCGGCUAACUCCGUG